UCUGUUGACAACAUUGUGGUGGAAGAUGAUAGAAAUCAUGAAGAUGGGCUAAGACAGGACAAACCAAAUAUAAAACAGACGAGUGAACUGUAUUCAUUCAAAAGGAAGCAAUCUUUGCAAGCUCGAUAUGUUUAUGGAUUUAUUUUCUUCGUAACAAACUUAUUGGCUUGGUUUCUUCGUGACUAUGGGCACAAGGUUCUUCAUAGUUUUCUUCCUGAAAGGGCAUGUGGAGUUGAGGGAAAUAACUGUGUUCAUGCUGGAGGAGUUCUUCGAGUGAGCUUAGGGUGUUUCACAUUUUUCUCAUUCAUGUGUGUCACCAGUUUUAGAGUUCACAAGCUGCAAGAAGCUCGCAAUUCAUGGCAUUCUGGGUGGUGGUCUCUGAAGUGCAUGGUUUAUCUUAUAUCAACAGGGUUUCCGUUCAUCAUCCCUUCAAAUAUUAU
Long non-coding RNA from Musa acuminata AAA Group (dessert banana), 440 nucleotides. RefSeq lists it as uncharacterized. The transcript is spliced from 3 exons. Lineage: Eukaryota; Viridiplantae; Streptophyta; Magnoliopsida; Zingiberales; Musaceae. The record is from RefSeq and is a predicted model, not a curated record.